GUGGGGAAUAUUGGACAAUGGGCGAAAGCCUGAUCCAGCCAUGCCGCGUGUGUGAAGAAGGUCUUCGGAUUGUAAAGCACUUUAAGUUGGGAGGAAGGGCAGUAAGUUAAUACCUUGCUGUUUUGACGUUACCGACAGAAUAAGCACCGGCUAACUUCGUGCCAGCAGCCGCGGUAAUACGAAGGGUGCAAGCGUUAAUCGGAAUUACUGGGCGUAAAGCGCGCGUAGGUGGUUUUGUAAGUUGGAGGUGAAAUCCCCGGGCUCAAACUGGGAACUGCCUCCAAAACUGCAUGACUAGAGUACGGUAGAGGGUAGUGGAAUUUCCUGUGUAGCGGUGAAAUGCGUAGAUAUAGGAAGGAACACCAGUGGCGAAGGCGACUACCUGGACUGAUACUGACACUGAGGUGCGAAAGCGUGGGGAGCAAACAGGAUUAGAUACCCCAGUAGUCC
This 450-nucleotide ribosomal RNA is filed under the name uncultured bacterium. Its description in RNAcentral is "partial 16S ribosomal RNA". It matches the Rfam family "Bacterial small subunit ribosomal RNA", at positions 354 to 796 of the family's 1533-position model. The record is from RNAcentral.